Molecule: non-coding RNA, 46 nt
Filed under: Schistosoma mansoni
Lineage: Eukaryota; Metazoa; Platyhelminthes; Trematoda; Strigeidida; Schistosomatidae
Source: RNAcentral
GCGCUGCUGAGGAGUUCCACAAUAGGACGAAACGACCGUCCAAUGC